This is a ribosomal RNA of Callithrix jacchus (white-tufted-ear marmoset), 119 nucleotides long. NCBI's taxonomy places the organism in Eukaryota, Metazoa, Chordata, Mammalia, Primates, Cebidae. The record is from Ensembl.
GUCUACGGCCACACCACCCUGAACGCGCCUGAUCCCAUGUGAUCUCAGAAGCUAAGCAGGGUUGGGCCUGGUUAGUAAGUGGAUGGGAGACUGCCUGGGAAUACCGGAUGCUGUAGGCU